This 305-nucleotide unclassified non-coding RNA is filed under the name uncultured Sordariales. RNAcentral describes it as "sequence contains ITS1". The stretch from base 1 to 105 matches the Rfam family "5.8S ribosomal RNA", at positions 50 to 154 of the family's 154-position model. Lineage: Eukaryota; Fungi; Ascomycota; Sordariomycetes; Sordariales. The record is from RNAcentral.
GAAAUGCGAUACGUAGUGUGAAUUGCAGAAUUCCGUGAACCAUCGAAUCUUUGAACGCACAUUGCGCCCGCCAGCACUCUGGCGGGCAUGCCUGUCCGAGCGUCAUUUCAACCAUCAAGCCCUGCUUGUGUUGGGGCCCUGCGGCUGCCCGCAGGCCCUGAAAACCAGUGGCGGGCUCGCUAGUCACACCGAGCGCAGUAUCUUACCCUCUCGCUCAGGGCGUGCGGCGGGCUCCUGCCGUGAAACCCCCCCACUGUAACCCAAAGGUUGACCUCGGAUCAGGUAGGAAUACCCGCUGAACUUAA